This 214-nucleotide unclassified non-coding RNA is filed under the name uncultured fungus. RNAcentral's name for it is "partial contains 5.8S ribosomal RNA, internal transcribed spacer 2, and large subunit ribosomal RNA". The stretch from base 1 to 52 matches the Rfam family "5.8S ribosomal RNA", at positions 103 to 154 of the family's 154-position model. Lineage: Eukaryota; Fungi. The record is from RNAcentral.
AACGCACAUUGCGCCUUUUGGUAUUCCGAAAGGCAUGCCUGUUUGAGUGUCAUAUCACCUCUCAUGUGUAGUUUUCUAUACAUGGGCUUUGGGCGCUGCCAUCCGUGGCUCGCCUUAAAUGACUAAGUGGAAUGCGUAAUAAGUUUUCGCUCCCUCCACUCUAAUAACUUUCAAGUUAGACCUCAAAUCAGGUAGGACUACCCGCUGAACUUAA